AGCCUCAGCGUGUGCCUUCAAAGUUCACCACCGUCCACCAUAGCCUUUCUUCUCCAAAAACCCAAAAUCCUAAACCCAAGAAUUCAACAGUGAUGUCGAACCCUCUCAAUCCAGACGCCUCUGUUCUUGCAAGCCUAAUGGAAUCUCACUUCAAGGAACUCGAUCUGAUCCCAGAACAGUUUCUCCAGAAGAAAGAAGAAAUGGUUCCCAUACUGGAAAACUGCUUGUCACACUCUUGCCUUGAAGAGGGUCUUCCAGAACAAAUUGCUGUGGAUAAAAGCAAUUCAGCCCAUCGGAUUAAACCCGGUCCGGUCGACUCUGCUUUCAUCAAGGACUGCGUGGCGCCGGUUCUGGUGGCCAGCAACAAACGCUUCAUCAAAAUUAUGCAUUGCUCCCUUGUCCAAGCUGGCAAGGAGAAAGAAGCUCAAGAGUACCUCGAAAAGGUGAGCCCUGCAUCCCGGGUCAAGCAUCAAGAUGUGGAAUUACCUUACUCUGCCAUUCCAGGUGCUCAAGGUAAUGGAGGAUAUGGGAUUAGGCACAAAUCCUGCCAGUUUCUUCAUGCCUCCAGCACCACAUGAGGUUUUUCCCACUCCGGCACCGGGUUGGAGGCCCAGCCAGGCUAUGGCCGACGGAUGAGGCUGGCGUUGUGCCUGAGACCGAGUUAGUUCUUCACGUUGGUGAGGUUACAGACCGGUCUAUGAUGGAUGCUGCAGCUGAACACAAGCAGAAGAAGGGGGUGAUGGAAGUGGAGGUCUCUGACACAGACUAAGCAUCACCCAGUUAUAUUUUUUUCUUUCUUUUUACUUUGAAGAGUACAAUCGUCCUUGCGGCCUUAGAAUGAUUCGAUAUAUACUUGGAGUAUGUAUUAGGAG
Molecule: RNA transcript, 872 nt
Organism: Prunus avium (sweet cherry)
Lineage: Eukaryota; Viridiplantae; Streptophyta; Magnoliopsida; Rosales; Rosaceae
Source: RefSeq, a predicted model, not a curated record